UACGUAGGGACCAAGCGUUGUUCGGAUUUACUGGGCGUAAAGGGCGCGUAGGCGGCGCGACAAGUCACUUGUGAAAUCUCCGGGCUUAACCCGGAACGGCCAAGUGAAACUGUCGUGCUAGAGUGCGGAAGGGGCAAUCGGAAUUCUCGGUGUAGCGGUGAAAUGCGUAGAUAUCGAGAGGAACACCUGAGGUGAAGACGGGUUGCUGGGCCGACACUGACGCUGAGUGCGCGAAAGCCAGGGGAGCAAACAGG
This 254-nucleotide ribosomal RNA is filed under the name uncultured bacterium. RNAcentral describes it as "partial 16S ribosomal RNA". It matches the Rfam family "Bacterial small subunit ribosomal RNA", at positions 524 to 776 of the family's 1533-position model. The record is from RNAcentral.